Molecule: ribosomal RNA, 433 nt
Filed under: uncultured bacterium
Lineage: Bacteria
Description: partial 16S ribosomal RNA
Rfam family: Bacterial small subunit ribosomal RNA
Source: RNAcentral
AACGAACGCUGGCGGCAGGCCUAACACAUGCAAGUCGAGCGGACCCUUCGGGGUUAGCGGCGGACGGGUGAGUAACGCGUGGGAAUAUGCCCUUCUCUACGGAAUAGUCCUGGGAAACUGGGGGUAAUACCGUAUACGCCCUUUGGGGGAAAGAUUUAUCGGGGAAGGAUUAGCCCGCGUUGGAUUAGGUAGUUGGUGGGGUAAUGGCCUACCAAGCCGACGAUCCAUAGCUGGUUUGAGAGGAUGAUCAGCCACACUGGGACUGAGACACGGCCCAGACCCCUACGGGAGGCAGCAGUGGGGAAUCUUAGACAAUGGGGGCAACCCUGAUCCAGCCAUGCCGCGUGAGUGAUGAAGGCCUUAGGGUUGUAAAGCUCUUUCAGCUGGGAAGAUAAUGACGGUACCAGCAGAAGAAGCCCCGGCUAACUCCGUG